GAAGAGAGAGGCACAAGAGAGCCUGUUUGCCUGGGAGUGCAUGUUUCAAAUGCUUAGCUGCCUAUAAAGCUGUAACAGUUCAGCCUGUGGCCACUGAGGGAAGAAUAUAAGUUAACCUUUGUAGUGACCAUGUGGAAGUCCUGACCUUGCUUGCAGACUUGACCUCUGGAUAUGACAAGGUAGCUUCAAUACAGAUCUACCAUUUAAUCCUGGAAACUAAAACAAACAAAAAAAAUCUCACAGCAAGAAAGAUGCAGAACAUUUCCUGAGAAGUCAGAAGACCCCAAUGCAUUCUGGUGCGCAAAGAAAACAGGGUGAAUGUCUACAGUUACUUGGGGGGGAGCAAGAAGCGCUAAUUCAGCAAACAGAGUGAAGAAACAAUCAAGAUGAGAUGGCUGCUGCUGAUGUGACUCUCUAGGUCUUUAUCUCUCUUCCUGCUGCUAACGCUGCAUGACACUAAGCUUACAGGAUCUAGAAGCAAACUGCAAAAUAAGAAGAAAUUUGCUCUGAAGACUAUGAAGAAACACUAGGCUGAUCUUACCAAUAUCUGAAAUACACUCUGUAAAUCCCCACUGAUACUAUGGAUCUCUUGCAGAACCAAACCAGGACAAAGUUCAACAGAUAACUGGUCAAAGUUUAAAAGUGUAUGUCCACCAAGAACAAGGAACCAUGAAUGGCACUAAUGCCAUGCCUCAGGUAAAUCUGUUAUAAAGUUUAGUCUUUGAUAGUCUCUGCAAAUGAUCUACCAUUUCUCUCCAUCAGUAAGCUGAAUGUUUUACUAACAAAUGCGAAAAUAAAACAUUUCGUGUUUUUACAGCUAACAACUUAGUAAUACCUACUCAGAGUACAUACUUCUUUAUGUACCCAUAUGAACAUACAAUGCUAUGGAAUGUAAAGAAGUAUGUAUUUUUGGUAGGCAAUAAACCGCCAAGAGGGAACUAGAAUGCAGCUAUGUGAAUGACCUUCAUAUGGUAAAUUAACCUAAUAUCAAAGAGAUGACCUUUGGCAAUACUAACACCAGAAAAAUGUACCUACUACUUACAGAUGGAAACUAAAUGUUGCUAAGAUUUAUAUUUUGUGAAGAAAAAAAGUUUUACUGAAGUGGAUUUAAAAUUAUCAUGAAAUUCCUUUUAAAUCUUUUAAGUUAAGCAUACUACAUUUUACAUUUUUUAAAUUAAGUAUUCACAUGAUUAAAGUUGAAUACAAAAGAGAAUAGAGUAUUACUAGUACAAAACAAUGAGGGAUACACAUGACCUAUUUUCUGUCUCCACAAUUUGACAUUAAUUUAAAUGUAUCAUAUUAGUAGUGUUGACUGAUUUAACAAAAGCCAACUUCAUUUGCCUUUCAACAGCUCUUCUUCAUAUUUUGAUAAAUUUAUAAUUUAAUAAUAUUAGAGGAAUUUCUGAAGCAAGUUUUGCUGUUUUAGGUUUUCUUUCUGAAAGCUAUAGACAUAGUUAUGAUUUUAAAAGGCUAUCUUUCAAGUAAAAUUCUGCUCUCAAAGAAAAAAAAUGGUCCUUGUCCUUCUCCCUAAUCCAGUCUCCACUUUCAAUGCUGUGUAAGUACUUAGAAUGAAUCAAGACAUAAGAUGUAUUCAUGAAAAAUGACAAAAUUCUGGGAAAUAGCUGUAAGUCAACAGGGCACAUUGGUCACAGACUGCCAAAUAUUUAAAAUAAAUUAAUUUAUUAUCUAUAUUAUCCUUGAAUUUGCUUUCUCCAAAGAGGGCACAUAAAAUGAAAACACUAUAGUCAAGAAACCAAUUUAUACAGAAAGAAUAACCAUCUUUUAUUAGUACUAUGCAAUUAUAAUUCAAUUUUUUAUAAAUAUGAUAGACCUACUAUUUAUAGUAUGUUAGAUAUAUUAAAAUACUUUUUUGUAUUUUAUAUAAAAUUUAUUUUGUACAAUAUAUAUUUAUAUACUAAUAAAUUAUAAAUGAUAUAGCUCUUAGCAACAAUUUAUUAGUACCUACUUUAAGCUACUAUAAUAGACUUUGAAAAAAGAAAUACUAAUAUUAAUAUUCAUAUAUUCUAAUCAUUUCUUACUAAAAGUUUUAUUUUGACUAGAGUAUUCAGACAUGUAUUACAUGUCUAAAUUUUUUGUGUCACAGUUGAAUAGAAAUGGCUAUAAGGUUAUCCAAUUUUCUGUUUAAUAAGACAACUAGAUAAUUGUCAAAAGAUGAUUUUCAUUUUAUCGGCAGAUUAUAAAGAAUGAGAGAAUGACUAAUAGAUAUGGUAGCAUAUAAAUUAUUGAGUAUUUAUUGGAAGUUACAAAAAGUUCAUAAUUUUAAAAUUCCACAUUUUCAAAGAAAAAAUCAGUUCAAAGCUUAACUCAUUCAAGAAUAGCCCUUCUUUCUGAUCAUCUACAAAGAGAAUGGCAAAGCUGCAUAUUCCAUUUGUUAAGUUUAACUGUACAUGCCCUAAAUACCAAAAACUGACAAUAUAUACCUCAAAAGUAGAGGUUCCUCUAUAAAACUACUCAAAGGGUAUUACUGCAUCCAUGUUUUAUAAUAAACAAUUAUAUUCAUCAUUCUAUAGGUAUAUAUGUUUUUAAUAAUUAUUUUAAAACAUCCCAGCAACUAAGAAUCUCGUUGCUACAAUAUUAAGAGUAUAUAAUCCCUAGAAAAUAAAAUGACAGCAUCUGUUAUUCAUUUGAAAAAGUAAAAUUACACACUGAUUCUAGUGCUUACAAGUUCAACUUAACAUAUCUAAGAGUAUUUUCAAUCACUCUAAAAUGUCACAUCUAUCACUUAGAUCAGCUGUUCAUUUUUAACUGAGUACAUAUUAAACUCUGGGCAUCUGCUGACACUGGCGUAACUCAAACAUUUCAACUGUCUCGCUGACAGGGAUAACAGAUGCUGACAUUAUCAAAUGCUGUACUAUUUUUUUUCCAUGGCCUCUCCUUGCCCCGAUAUGGCCAGUAUAUGAAACUGAACUGCCAUCCAAAAGCACACUUGAGCAACUGGAUCUGCUAAACGGCUCCCAUAUAACUAGUAAAAAUAGAAGCCAGUUUUAUUGCUAUCAUCAGCACUGAAGUCCACGCAAUUUAACACCUGUUUCAUUUCUAUUAGAAUGAUGGAAAUAAUUGUAGUCACAUUAAUUUCACCAGCAGCAUGACACUCAUCAACCAACAGAUGCAGAAUAUACUUAAUAUGAGAAUUGUUUGAAUAUUACCUGAAUUAGUGUUGGCCUCCCAGUUUGGUUCAAAACAGAUAACUAUUUCUUUAUAUUUCACUGACAGCACUUAUAGGCAAACUAUAACUGCUCAAACUUUUAUUUCAAGGCAAGUAUUUUCAGAAGACAUCCCUUCCCAAUACUGAAAUCCCCUUAUAACAAAAAUUUGUUCUACUGAGUUUUAAUAGUAGUUUUAAUACUCAAAUUCAUGAUUCUUACUAACCACAAGUUAAUGUAUUAUUAAGCUGAUAAUGAGAAGUAACUAGGCAAUCUGUACCCAAAAUGACAGAGAAUUCGGUCAAGGAACUAGACCUUUAAAAGGGUUAAAUUAUUAACCUAUGAUUAGUAACACUACAUAAGCAAAAAGAAAGAAAAAUAAGCUAUCAUGCAUGGCAGUUCCUUUCAACACAAGUCUAAGCAAUACACCGAAUACACGUGUCAUCUAUUUAUAAACCAAAGCCCAGAGGUACUUUCUUAAGGCUACUCAUUCCUCCACCCCGUCAGCAACUUGCUGUUAGUCCUUAAGUAUAAUACUAAAAAAAGCAGCGGCAGUAGAAAAGUAUGACUAGCAGUGCUCUUCCCUAACCUAUUUCACUUACUUAUUUGGUUUACUGCCCAAGGAUAAAUAGAUAACAUUACUCUGAUACACAUCAAGAUCUAUUUGCUCUUUUAAAUGGUGUGGGUUUUGAAACAGGUCACUGUCUGUAUUUAAGAAUUAAGCAAAAGUGUUAAAAAUAAAGGCGUACAUUGAUAACUCCUUAAUGCACUAACGACGUGUUAAAGGGUGAAGAUUUCUGCAUGAUUAGAGAAGGGAAUAGUAGGAAAAGUGCCUUCAAAACAUAAAGUUUUACAUUCAAUGGCUGAAAUACUGAUAUGAGAAUUGUGUAAGGACCAUAACCAUAAUUUUUCAAAUAAAAAACAUUUUAACUGUUCUGGGUCCCAAACUAGCGGCACUGCAAUGCUUUGCUAGAGCUGGUAAAAUGGAACCAAAUCGCCUCUUCAAUGGAUUUGGUCCCCUUCAACCAGCUGUAGCUAUGCAUUGAUUACUACAGGACAGCCAGCGUUUUCAUUUAUCAAUAUCAAUCACAUCAACUAAUUUCAACUUAUUUAAAUUACUCAGAUUGUGGUUUAAAUCAAAUAAUUUGUUACUGUUAAUUCUACUUGGAAGAGCCAUAAUGGUAAAUAAUGUUUAUAAACAGCUUUAUGAAAAAUGUGUGGAUGACAUAAGGCUUUCAAAUAAAAUUAUUUUAUUAAUUUA
This is a long non-coding RNA of Balaenoptera musculus (blue whale), 4425 nucleotides long. RefSeq lists it as uncharacterized. The record is from RefSeq and is a predicted model, not a curated record. The transcript has 3 exons. Lineage: Eukaryota; Metazoa; Chordata; Mammalia; Artiodactyla; Balaenopteridae.